GUGCUUGCAUCAUGAAUUACAUUUGAGUGAGUGGCGAACUGGUGAGUAACACGUGGGAAACCUGCCCAGAAGCGGGGGAUAACACCUGGAAACAGAUGCUAAUACCGCAUAACAACUUGGACCGCAUGGUCCGAGUUUGAAAGAUGGCUUCGGCUAUCACUUUUGGAUGGUCCCGCGGCGUAUUAGCUAGAUGGUGAGGUAACGGCUCACCAUGGCAAUGAUACGUAGCCGACCUGAGAGGGUAAUCGGCCACAUUGGGACUGAGACACGGCCCAAACUCCUACGGGAGGCAGCAGUAGGGAAUCUUCCACAAUGGACGAAAGUCUGAUGGAGCAACGCCGCGUGAGUGAAGAAGGGUUUCGGCUCGUAAAACUCUGUUGUUAAAGAAGAACAUAUCUGAGAGUAACUGUUCAGGUAUUGACGGUAUUUAACCAGAAAGCCACGGCUAACUACGUGCCAGCAGCCGCGGUAAUACGUAGGUGGCAAGCGUUGUCCGGAUUUAUUGGGCGUAAAGCGAGCGCAGGCGGUUUUUUAAGUCUGAUGUGAAAGCCUUCGGCUCAACCGAAGAAGUGCAUCGGAAACUGGGAAACUUGAGUGCAGAAGAGGACAGUGGAACUCCAUGUGUAGCGGUGAAAUGCGUAGAUAUAUGGAAGAACACCAGUGGCGAAGGCGGCUGUCUGGUCUGUAACUGACGCUGAGGCUCGAAAGUAUGGGUAGCAAACAGGAUUAGAUACCCUGGUAGUCCAUACCGUAAACGAUGAAUGCUAAGUGUUGGAGGGUUUCCGCCCUUCAGUGCUGCAGCUAACGCAUUAAGCAUUCCGCCUGGGGAGUACGGCCGCAAGGCUGAAACUCAAAGGAAUUGACGGGGGCCCGCACAAGCGGUGGAGCAUGUGGUUUAAUUCGAAGCUACGCGAAGAACCUUACCAGGUCUUGACAUACUAUGCAAAUCUAAGAGAUUAGACGUUCCCUUCGGGGACAUGGAUACAGGUGGUGCAUGGUUGUCGUCAGCUCGUGUCGUGAGAUGUUGGGUUAAGUCCCGCAACGAGCGCAACCCUUAUUAUCAGUUGCCAGCAUUAAGUUGGGCACUCUGGUGAGACUGCCGGUGACAAACCGGAGGAAGGUGGGGAUGACGUCAAAUCAUCAUGCCCCUUAUGACCUGGGCUACACACGUGCUACAAUGGAUGGUACAACGAGUUGCGAACUCGCGAGAGUAAGCUAAUCUCUUAAAGCCAUUCUCAGUUCGGAUUGUAGGCUGCAACUCGCCUACAUGAAGUCGGAAUCGCUAGUAAUCGCGGAUCAGCAUGCCGCGGUGAAUACGUUCCCGGGCCUUGUACAC
Molecule: ribosomal RNA, 1336 nt
Filed under: Lactiplantibacillus paraplantarum
Lineage: Bacteria; Bacillati; Bacillota; Bacilli; Lactobacillales; Lactobacillaceae
Description: bacterial SSU rRNA
Rfam family: Bacterial small subunit ribosomal RNA
Source: RNAcentral